This is a long non-coding RNA of Gossypium arboreum, 743 nucleotides long. RefSeq lists it as uncharacterized. The record is from RefSeq and is a predicted model, not a curated record. The transcript has 2 exons. NCBI's taxonomy places the organism in Eukaryota, Viridiplantae, Streptophyta, Magnoliopsida, Malvales, Malvaceae.
AUAUAUAUAUAUAUAUAUAUAUAUAUGAACAUAUCUUCUUAGAAACAUCUUAUUAUUAUCUUAUUUCCCACUUUAUACACCUUGAAAUUGGGUGCUUUGAAGGCUUGUUUUGCCCAAAGAGGUUUGAAGCUCAACUCAACAAGUACAACACCAGCUAGAGGGUCACCAAGCAUGUCAGUUUCUCCCCUGGAAAUAUCGCCAGAAAACUCAUGCUUGUCUUCGGAACCCGGAGAUGAAAAGGAGGAGGAGUUGGAGGAGGAGUCAGUGGUGACGAUGCGGUACCGUCCUGAAGUAACGUCAAUGCUGCUAGUGGGAUGCCCUCGUUGUCUCAUAUAUGUUAUGUUAUCCAAAUUUGAACCUAAAUGCCCUCAAUGUAAGAGCACUGUCUUGCUUGAUUUUCUUGAUGAAGAGACUGCUAAAUGGGCAAGCAAUUGAAUGAAGGCAACUCUCUAGGAUUUUCGUUCUUUUUCCGGGAAUACGGUACGGUAAGGGUUGCAGAUAUCGAAAGUCAAACUUAUUGAUUUUAUGGAAUGUGAAGUUAAGUAUGAUUACGUGAACUAAUUGAAAUAAAUCCCGGAUUCUAGGGCUUUUUUUUUUUUAAGUUUUAUCUUAAUCUUAUAUUUUUAUUGGUCAAAUUGUAGUUAUAGUCCCUAGAGCUUUAAUUCCAUAUAAUUUAAUUUCUGUACUUUAUAACCUUAUUAGUGUUUUUAAUUAAUUUAAGUACAACAUAUUUUCUUUAAAAA